Molecule: ribosomal RNA, 252 nt
Filed under: uncultured bacterium
Lineage: Bacteria
Description: partial 16S ribosomal RNA
Rfam family: Bacterial small subunit ribosomal RNA
Source: RNAcentral
UACGUAGGGGGCAAGCGUUGUCCGGAAUUAUUGGGCGUAAAGAGCGUGUAGGCGGUUUGGUAGGUCCGUUGUGAAAACUCGAGGCUCAACCUCGAGACGCCGGCGGAAACCAUCAGGCUAGAGUCCGGAAGAGGAGAGUGGAAUCCUGGUGUAGCGGUGAAAUGCGCAGAUAUCAGGAAGAACACCCGUGGCUAAGGCGGCUCUCUAGUACGGUACUGACGCUGAGACGCGAAAGCGUGGGGAGCGAACAGG